RNAcentral lists this ribosomal RNA (274 nucleotides) under uncultured bacterium. Its description in RNAcentral is "partial 16S ribosomal RNA". It matches the Rfam family "Archaeal small subunit ribosomal RNA", at positions 473 to 747 of the family's 1478-position model. The record is from RNAcentral.
AAACCAGCACCUCAAGUGGUCAGGAUGAUUAUUGGGCCUAAAGCAUCCGUAGCCUGCUCUGUAAGUUUUCGGUUAAAUCUGUACGCUCAACGUACAGGCUGCCGGAAAUACUGCAGAGCUAGGGAGUGGGAGAGGUAGACGGUACUCGGGAGGAAGUGGUAAAAUGCUUUGAUCUCUCGAUGACCACCUGUGGCGAAGGCGGUCUACCAGAACACGUCCGACGGUGAGGGAUGAAAGCUGGGGGAGCAAACCGGAUUAGAAACCCGAGUAGUCC